AUAAGAUUUCUUAUAGAUACGUUCAAAAAUAAACAAAGCGAUUUAACGCUAUAGUUGUAAUUGUGUAAAUUAAACAAAUUUACACAAAUGUAAAUAUUAUACGCAUGUACAUCUAUUAACAUGAACGAACGGAUAAGAAGGAACGAUUAGAAGAAAAUAAAUUCGUAGUACGAGGUGGGCGAGAAAGGGAGUGGUCUUAAUUUCCUGCCCCGACAUCAAGCUUGCGUUGAUUAUUAUAAGGACGAGAAAUGGAAUGAGGAGCGUCAAAAGGGUGACCAUUCGUUCCCAGCCAUUUCCUAGCAAUUUCCUGACGCUGUUUUUCAUGUGAACUUUUGAACUUGUUCCUCACCUCCUCUUCCCGCUAUCACUCCUUCCUUUCUACUUCUCUAUGACCAUUCCUUGUGUUCAGCCUACCAACCACUUUUCCACUAUAAAAUAUCCACUAAGUAGUCGUGGCUAGUGAAACUGGUCAGUUAUAAAUGGCCAUACGAAAAUAUAGUCGGCUUUUGCGGAUUGCACAGAUGUGGCUGGUAUCCUUAAUGCUUCUCUUGAACGUUCCGCGACGUUCACGCGAGAAUGUCUGCUUUUAAGAUAAACGAUCUUUUAGACGGAAACAAAAAUUAUGUAAUAUAUAUAUAAUAGAUAGAUAUGUACAUAUAUAAAGUAUAUGAAUAUAAGAAUGUUUAAAGGAUUCUGUACAUAGUUAUUUAAAUGGUUGCAAAUGCAUAUUACGUAGAAUAUUUUUCGUAAAUACAUCGGUACAUUACACAUAUACAUUUUAUUUUCAUACGGAAUAGGAAU
Molecule: long non-coding RNA, 801 nt
Organism: Polistes dominula (European paper wasp)
Lineage: Eukaryota; Metazoa; Arthropoda; Insecta; Hymenoptera; Vespidae
Source: RefSeq, a predicted model, not a curated record